Molecule: long non-coding RNA, 942 nt
Organism: Juglans microcarpa x Juglans regia
Lineage: Eukaryota; Viridiplantae; Streptophyta; Magnoliopsida; Fagales; Juglandaceae
Exons: 4
Source: RefSeq, a predicted model, not a curated record
AAAAUAUUUUUUUUAUUUAAAAUAUUAUAUAAAAUUGUAUGUCUAUAUUUUUAUCUCUAAAAUUAGGAAAACAUUAGGAAAAUAAAGGGUACCACAAACUAACGGCACAUGUCACUCCGUCCCUCUCCCUCGCCUUUCCCUUCCCUUGCCAGACCUCAGAUAGAGACCGAGCUAGUUUCCUGUUGCCUAGUCUCGUCGCUUACAGCCAUAACAAAAGCCCUAGCCGAAAGCCCUCUACCAUCAGGGACAAUGCCGAUACUGCCAGGUUUCUCUCUCUCUCCCUCUCUCUCUCUCUCUCUCUCUCUCUCCACUUCAGAAGCCGACAACCUUCUUUUGGUAGACCAUGACCAAAAUCUACGGCGACUCUUUGAUUCAAACAAUUCAAACACCAAUUGAGGCAAGUGGAGCAAGAUUUCGAUGGGCCACCUCAAUUUCAGCCAUAAUGAACUCGGUGAACGGAGCAUCCAUCAUUGUUUUCUAUCUCUGUCAAAUGUCCUCACACACAGGAUAAGUUGCUGAGAAAGAGAGAGGGAAGAAGUGGCAAAGGAUUGGGUAAGGAUUGAAGCUAUACGAACGAAGGGAUGAGGACCAACAUGGAAGGAAUUUUCCUGAAAUUGAGGAACUGCAUAUCCUAUUCUAUCUAGAACCGCUUUGUGGAAGGGGUGUGUCGGUCUGGAGGUAGUGCACCGUGCAACGGUCAGGAGGGGGUGCAAAGGUCUAGAGGGUGUGCAGCAGGUUGAGAUGGAAUUUGGUGUUUUCAUACAAGAGAGGAGAAGAAACUAAUGUCGGGAGUAUUUUGUUUUCAAUUUAAUCACAUGUGAUGCAGCUCAUAAAACUAGUGUAUGGAGUGUUAAAGUGUCAUGCCACUAUUGAAGACUGUUGAACCCUUGAAAUCGGCCCCUCCAUUCCAAAGGGGAAAUGUGUUGUUAAUUGCUAUUAUUU